Molecule: long non-coding RNA, 915 nt
Organism: Lotus japonicus
Lineage: Eukaryota; Viridiplantae; Streptophyta; Magnoliopsida; Fabales; Fabaceae
Exons: 3
Source: RefSeq, a predicted model, not a curated record
AUCUAAUUUUUGGAAAGCAAAAUUGAGGCUCAUGAUUUAGCUUAAACCGUCCACUACAUCCAAUUAAAGGAGAGAGAAAAGCAUACAAAGCAACAUGUUUAAUUGAAUAUUGAAGGUUUUUAAUCUUCAUCAAUUCCACUUCGUUUUCCAUCAAUACAGUUGGGAGCCUUUAAUUUCACAGCUCCUCAAUUUGUUUCUAUAAAUUAUGGACUCAUACUAGCAACUUUCAUCAUCUUUACCAUACACCUGUUCAUUUCGUUGUGUCUUCCCCUUCCAUUUUUCUUCAACUCAAGGAUGACUAGAGAAAGGACUUUCAUGGUGGGUUCAGAAGCGUCAAAGGAAACCUCCAAUCCUACUAUGCCCAAGGCUGCUGAUUCAGCUGCGCUAUUCUCCCAAACAAAUUCAGAUGUUAAAUAACUCACCAUGGAUGAUUGAGAGAUGGAAAUUGAGGUAGUUGUGGUGUCAAAAUAAUAUGUUGAUGUGUUACAAGAGAUGUUGGCAAAGGAAUAAGUAUCAAAUGGCGUCCUCACUAUGACUGCAACCCAAGACCAUCCGAAGACCUUCAAUCUCUAAGACGUCCCGCAAGACCUCCAGGUUUUGGGAUACUGCGCACCGGAUCAAGCAUCAUUUUCUUUAGUCAACUUUCAAUAUUGGUGAUUUUAGAAGAUGUUUUUUUUGUUUUGGAGAUGGAGAUUAUGCGUGUUAUGUUUUUACCUCUCCUUGAUUGAAGGAUAAUAUAUGGGCUGCUAUCCCAAUUUGGUCCCGGUGUUCUUUAUUUCGUCAUUAUUAUACUCAGGGAUCUUUAGAAAAUCAUUCUUUAGGCUUGUGGUUGUCAAAUGGUUGAAAUUGAAAGCAUGUAUUUUUUCUUUUUAUGUGGUUGAUUUUGUUUGAUCUUAAAGUUUCAUGGGUAUUGCA